CCUGAGAAACCCGAAAGAUCGAAUGGGGAGAUUCAUCGUCAGCGACCUUGGUACGUGCGCGGUUCGCGAUGCUGGGAGGAACUUCGGUGAAUCCCGGUACGCUGUCCGUGCAUUUUUAUUGCCAUGCUGUCGUCGGCGUGCACUUCUCCCCUAGUAGGACGUCGCGACCCGUUGGGUGUCGGUCUACGGCCCGGGUGGGUGCCUGUCUCGUGUGGCGCUUUACGGCGUCACCGCGGGGCAGACCCCCGGCCGCCCGACCGGCUGCCCGGCGGUACUCGCAAGGUAUCUGGCCGCAAAUAUUCGAACUGCGUCCGGCCCGUCGCAAGGGUGGCAAGUGUCUCCCGAAUGUACGGAUCUAACGCCGUCAUCGGGCCUGGCCCCCUGUUGGUUGACGGUGUCCUAGGACUGGCUGUAAAAAUUAUGAUACCGGUCAGCGACGCUACUGCUUUGGGUACUUUCAGGACCCGUCUUGAAACACGGACCAAGGAGUCUAACAUGUGCGCGAGUCAUUGGGAGCUAUAAAGCCUAAAGGCGCAAUGAAAGUGAAGGUCUUGCCUCGCGCAGACCGAAGGGAGGAUGGGCCGCGUCACGAUGCGGUCCCGCACUCCCGGGGCGUCUCGUUCUCAUUGCGAGAAGAGGCGCACCCAGAGCGUACACGUUGGGACCA
This 667-nucleotide ribosomal RNA is filed under the name Symplecis sp. DLJQ-2008. RNAcentral's name for it is "eukaryotic LSU rRNA". It matches the Rfam family "Eukaryotic large subunit ribosomal RNA", at positions 420 to 817 of the family's 3401-position model. The record is from RNAcentral. Lineage: Eukaryota; Metazoa; Arthropoda; Insecta; Hymenoptera; Ichneumonidae.